CAGCAGCCGCGGUAAUACGAAGGGUGCAAGCGUUAAUCGGAAUUACUGGGCGUAAAGCGUGCGUAGGCGAUUUGUUAAGACAGAUGUGAAAUCCCCGGGCUCAACCUGGGAACUGCAUUUGUGACUGGCAAGCUAGAGUGUGGCAGAGGGGGGUGGGAUUCUGCGUGUAGCAGUGAAAUGCGUAGAGAUGUGGAGGAACACCGAUGGCGAAGGCAGCCCCCUGGGCCAAUACUGACGCUCAUGCACGAAAGCGUGGGGAGCAAACAGGAUUAGAUACCCCUGUAGUCCCUGUCUCUUAUAA
RNAcentral lists this ribosomal RNA (301 nucleotides) under uncultured bacterium. RNAcentral describes it as "partial 16S ribosomal RNA". It matches the Rfam family "Bacterial small subunit ribosomal RNA", at positions 509 to 809 of the family's 1533-position model. The record is from RNAcentral.